This 442-nucleotide ribosomal RNA is filed under the name uncultured bacterium. Its description in RNAcentral is "partial 16S ribosomal RNA". It matches the Rfam family "Bacterial small subunit ribosomal RNA", at positions 338 to 795 of the family's 1533-position model. The record is from RNAcentral.
CCUACGGGAUGCAGCAGUGGGGGAUAUUGCACAAUGGGGGAAACCCUGAUGCAGCGACGCCGCGUGGGCGAAGAAGUAUUUCGGUAUGUAAAGCCCUAUCAGCAGGGAAGACGAAAUGAUGGUACCUGAGUAAGAAGCACCGGCUAAAUAUGUGCCAGCAGCCGCGGUAAUACGUAUGGUGCAAGCGUUAUCCGGAUUUACUGGGUGGAAAGGGAGCGCAGGCGGCACGGCAAGCCUGAUGUGAAAGCCCGCGGCCCAACCGCGGGACUGCAUUGGGAACUACCGGGCUGGAGUGCCGGAGAGGUAGGCGGAAUUCCUAGUGUAGCGGUGAAAUGCGUAGAUAUCAGGAGGAACACCGGUGGCGAAGGCGGCCUGCUGGACUGCGACUGACGUUGAGGCCCGAAAGCGUGGGGAGCAAACAGGAUUAGAUACCCCUGUAGUC